RNAcentral lists this transfer RNA (69 nucleotides) under Treponema ruminis. RNAcentral's name for it is "tRNA-OTHER". Lineage: Bacteria; Pseudomonadati; Spirochaetota; Spirochaetia; Treponematales; Treponemataceae. The record is from RNAcentral.
GGAGGCGGGGCUGGCGGGAGCGCUAGGAAGGCGCGACUAGAAGCCUCGGUUCAAGUCCGAUCGUCUCCA